This 27-nucleotide non-coding RNA is filed under the name Homo sapiens (human). Lineage: Eukaryota; Metazoa; Chordata; Mammalia; Primates; Hominidae. The record is from RNAcentral.
GAGAGGUGAGAGUGAACACAUUGUCUC